AAAUUGAAGAGUUUGAUCAUGGCUCAGAUUGAACGCUGGCGGCAGGCCUAACACAUGCAAGUCGAACGGUAGCACAGAGAGCUUGCUCUCGGGUGACGAGUGGCGGACGGGUGAGUAAUGUCUGGGAAACUGCCCGAUGGAGGGGGAUAACUACUGGAAACGGUAGCUAAUACCGCAUAACGUCGCAAGACCAAAGUGGGGGACCUUCGGGCCUCACACCAUCGGAUGUGCCCAGAUGGGAUUAGCUAGUAGGUGGGGUAACGGCUCACCUAGGCGACGAUCCCUAGCUGGUCUGAGAGGAUGACCAGCCACACUGGAACUGAGACACGGUCCAGACUCCUACGGGAGGCAGCAGUGGGGAAUAUUGCACAAUGGGCGCAAGCCUGAUGCAGCCAUGCCGCGUGUAUGAAGAAGGCCUUCGGGUUGUAAAGUACUUUCAGCGAGGAGGAAGGCGUUGUGGUUAAUAACCACAGCGAUUGACGUUACUCGCAGAAGAAGCACCGGCUAACUCCGUGCCAGCAGCCGCGGUAAUACGGAGGGUGCAAGCGUUAAUCGGAAUUACUGGGCGUAAAGCGCACGCAGGCGGUUUGUUAAGUCAGAUGUGAAAUCCCCGGGCUCAACCUGGGAACUGCAUUUGAAACUGGCAA
RNAcentral lists this ribosomal RNA (647 nucleotides) under Salmonella enterica. RNAcentral describes it as "bacterial SSU rRNA". It matches the Rfam family "Bacterial small subunit ribosomal RNA", at positions 1 to 639 of the family's 1533-position model. RNAcentral also lists the same sequence under 2 other names. Lineage: Bacteria; Pseudomonadati; Pseudomonadota; Gammaproteobacteria; Enterobacterales; Enterobacteriaceae. The record is from RNAcentral.